Long non-coding RNA from Epinephelus moara (kelp grouper), 903 nucleotides. RefSeq lists it as uncharacterized. The record is from RefSeq and is a predicted model, not a curated record. The transcript is spliced from 5 exons. NCBI's taxonomy places the organism in Eukaryota, Metazoa, Chordata, Actinopteri, Perciformes, Serranidae.
UACAGAGCAGAGGGUGUCCCACACUGAUGAGCAAUCCUAGUUCAGUCUGAUUUGAACUUCAGCUUAGUGUGAAAGGACUGACGCUUUAGCCAGUGGGCAAACUUCCCCCUCAACUGAUCACUGCUGCAAAAGCAGCCUGACAACAGACAGCCAAGUCAAGAAUUAACCUGCCAGUGGAGAUGACAAACUUCAAGAAAAGCUCAUGAGUCCAGCGGUGAAGCAGUGAAGCAGCUCCAAGCACAGCAGCACCUCAGCUGACCUGCAGCAGGAGACUCAAUCAGAACACUGCUGUGUGUCCUUGCGCUCAGAGACAGAGGAACUAGGAGGAGAAUCAGGAGGUGUGGAAGAGACAGACUGGGUGUUGCUGUUGAGAUAAUGGAGCUCAAAGAUGGAGAUCCAACAGUCUGCACUUGGGAUGUCAGAGAUGAGCAUAUAGUAGAGAGGCAGGAGCAGCGUACAAGGUGCCACCUGCUUACCAGACAUUCAUACACCAAUGGAACAGCCAGCAGGAGCAAAAGGGUACUUUGACAUGCAGCCUGGUGGUGCUGGGAAUCCGACUGCUAGUCUUCUGAUUAGUGAAAACUUGCUCUAUUUCCUGAGCCACAGCCACCCCAUAGUAUAAUCUUGCUCUAGGGCGUCUGAGAAGUGGUAAUGAAGAAGGGUCAUGGACUGCUUUUUCACUUACCCCACCAAGAUUUAAUCUGCUGGGAUCAAACUGUCCACCCUCCAAAGGUUACCUGCCUGUCCCAUCACACGUAAGAAUGUUCAGCCUGUCAAUAAAUAAUGAAUAAAUAAUGAGGACAUAAGUAAACAGGAAAGAAGAAAAAAGAGAAAAAGAAAAGGCAAGGGAGAAAAAAAUGAAUUAAAAAAAAUACAGCAGAAAGGAAGGGAGAAGAAGAUAGG